RNAcentral lists this ribosomal RNA (537 nucleotides) under uncultured bacterium. RNAcentral describes it as "bacterial SSU rRNA". It matches the Rfam family "Bacterial small subunit ribosomal RNA", at positions 56 to 639 of the family's 1533-position model. The record is from RNAcentral.
UGCAAGUCGAGCGCCGUAGCAAUACGGAGCGGCAGACGGGAGAGUAACACGUGGGAACGUACCCUUUGGUUCGGAACAACCCAGGGAAACUUGGGCUAAUACCGGAUAAGCCCUUACGGGGAAAGAUUCAUCGCCGAAGGAUCGGCCCGCGUCUGAUUAGCUAGUUGGUGGGGUAAUGGCCCACCAAGGCGACGAUCAGUAGCUGGUCUGAGAGGAUGAUCAGCCUCACUGGGACUGAGACACGGCCCAGACUCCUACGGGAGGCAGCAGUGGGGAAUAUUGGACAAUGGGCGCAAGCCUGAUCCAGCCAUGCCGCGUGGGUGAUGAAGGCCCUAGGGUUGUAAAGCCCUUUCGGCGGGGAAGAUAAUGACGGUACCCGCAGAAGAAGCCCCGGCUAACUUCGUGCCAGCAGCCGCGGUAAUACGAAGGGGGCUAGCGUUGCUCGGAAUCACUGGGCGUAAAGCGCACGUAGGCGGAUUGUUAAGUCAGGGGUGAAAUCCUGGAGCUCAACUCCAGAACUGCCUUUGAUACUGGCGA